CACUGCUUAUAUAGGUUUUACUCCUUAGGAAGAGGUAACACUGCUUACACAUGGUUCAUUCUUCAGGAAGAGGUAACAGUGCUUACAUGGGGUUCAUUCUUAAGGAAUAGGUAACAAUGCUUAAAUGGGGUUUAUUCUUAAAGGUAGCACUGCUUAGGUUUUCAGUUCAUUCGUCAUGAAGAGGUAACAGUGGUAAUAUGGGGUUCAUUUUCAGGAAGAGGUAACAGUGGUAACAUGGAGUUCAUCUUCAGGAAGUGGUAACAGUGCUUACAUGGGGUUUACUCUUUAGUAAGAGGUAACACUGCUUACAUGGGGUUCAUUCUUCAGGAAGAGAUAGCACUGCUUACAUGAUGGGGUUCAUUCGUCAUGAAGAGGUAACACUGCUUAUAUAGGUUUUACUCCUUAGGAAGAGGUAACACUGCUUACACAUGGUUCAUUCUUCAGGAAGAGGUAACAGUGCUUACAUGGGGUUCAUUCUUAAGGAAUAGGUAACAAUGCUUAAAUGGGGUUUAUUCUUAAAGGUAGCACUGCUUAGGUUUUCAGUUCAUUCGUCAUGAAGAGGUAACAGUGGUAAUAUGGGGUUCAUUUUCAGGAAGAGGUAACAGUGGUAACAUGGAGUUCAU
Pelobates cultripes (western spadefoot toad) is the source of this 623-nucleotide non-coding RNA. The record is from the annotation of a GenBank genome assembly. Lineage: Eukaryota; Metazoa; Chordata; Amphibia; Anura; Pelobatidae.